RNAcentral lists this ribosomal RNA (321 nucleotides) under Triticum aestivum (bread wheat). Its description in RNAcentral is "partial small subunit ribosomal RNA". Lineage: Eukaryota; Viridiplantae; Streptophyta; Magnoliopsida; Poales; Poaceae. The record is from RNAcentral.
AUGAUGCAGUACACUAACCUUGAUCAUGUAGUCCGCAUGCGCCUAAACAAAUUGAGGGGUGCCCAUGUGAAACCACAACACAAGUUAAAUUUCAAGGUACACACGGUGGUGGAUAAAAAACAAAAAAAGAAACCAAAUAAAAAAAACAGUGUGGUUUACUCGCAUUGUCCUUGCGGUUCACUCGCCUUGUCCUCGCAGUGCGGAAGAAUUUCUAAAAUUAAAAGGAAAACAAAAAAUGUGUGUGGUUCAUUUUGCAGUGCAAUUGGUCCUCGGAUGUGGUUCACUUUUGAGAGUGGUGCUGUUCACUUGUGCCCAUUAUGA